GGUUAAGCUACUAAGAGCGCACGGAGGAUGCCUAGGCGCUAGGAGCCGAAGAAGGACGUGGCGAACAACGAAAUGCCUCGGGGAGCCGUAAGCAGGCGCUGAUCCGGGGAUGUCCGAAUGGGGAAACCCGGCUGGGGUAAUGCCCAGUCACCUUGUAGUGAAUACAUAGCUACAAUGGAGGCACACCAGGGGAACUGAAACAUCUAAGUACCCUGAGGAAGAGAAAACAACAGUGAUUCCGUCAGUAGCGGCGAGCGAACGCGGAUUAGCCCAAACCAAGGAGCUUGCUCCUUGGGGUUGUAGGACGUCUCACAUGGAGUUACAAAGGUGU
This 331-nucleotide ribosomal RNA is filed under the name Paenibacillus artemisiicola. RNAcentral describes it as "partial 23S ribosomal RNA". It matches the Rfam family "Bacterial large subunit ribosomal RNA", at positions 1 to 331 of the family's 2925-position model. Lineage: Bacteria; Bacillati; Bacillota; Bacilli; Caryophanales; Paenibacillaceae. The record is from RNAcentral.